This 407-nucleotide ribosomal RNA is filed under the name uncultured bacterium. RNAcentral describes it as "bacterial SSU rRNA". It matches the Rfam family "Bacterial small subunit ribosomal RNA", at positions 355 to 776 of the family's 1533-position model. The record is from RNAcentral.
UGGGGAAUAUUGCGCAAUGGGGGAAACCCUGACGCAGCAACGCCGCGUGAAGGAUGAAGGUUCUCGGAUCGUAAACUUCUUUGAUCAGGGACGAAAAAAAUGACGGUACCUGAAAAACAAGCCACGGCUAACUACGUGCCAGCAGCCGCGGUAAUACGUAGGUGGCAAGCGUUAUCCGGAAUUACUGGGUGUAAAGGGCGUGUAGGCGGGACUGUAAGUCAGAUGUGAAAUUCUGGGGCUCAACCCCAGCGCUGCAUCUGAAACUAUAGUUCUUGAGUGCUGGAGAGGAAAGCGGAAUUCCUAGUGUAGCGGUGAAAUGCGUAGAUAUUAGGAGGAACACCAGUGGCGAAGGCGGCUUUCUGGACAGUAACUGACGCUGAGGCGCGAAAGCGUGGGGAGCAAACAGG